GUAGGCAGCAAGCGUUGUUCGGAGUUACUGGGCGUAAAGGGUGUGUAGGCGGUCUUCUAAGUCUGGUGUGAAAUCUCCCGGCUCAACUGGGAGGGUGCGCCGAAAACUGGAAGGCUAGAGUGCGGGAUGGGAGAGUGGAAUUCCUGGUGUAGCGGUGAAAUGCGUAGAUAUCAGGAGGAACACCUGUGGUGUAGACGGCUCUCUGGACCGCAACUGACGCUGAGACACGAAAGCGUGGGUAGCAAACAGGAUUAGAUACCCUGGUAGUCCACGCCCUAAACGAUGCAUAUUUGGUGUGGGCCAUUCAUUUGGUCCGUGCCGGAGCUAACGCGUUAAAUAUGCCGCCUGGGGAGUACGGUCGCAAGGGUG
RNAcentral lists this ribosomal RNA (369 nucleotides) under uncultured bacterium. Its description in RNAcentral is "bacterial SSU rRNA". It matches the Rfam family "Bacterial small subunit ribosomal RNA", at positions 527 to 896 of the family's 1533-position model. The record is from RNAcentral.